UACGGGGGGAGCAAGCGUUUGUUCGGAUUUACUGGGCGUAAAGGGCGCGUAGGCGGCCAGCACAAGUCAGUUGUGAAAUCUCCGAGCUUAACUCGGAACGGUCAAGUGAUACUGUCGGACUAGAGUACAGAAGGGGCAACUGGAAUUCUCGGUGUAGCGGUGAAAUGCGUAGAUAUCGAGAGGAACACCUGCGGCGAAGGCGGGUUGCUGGGCUGAUACUGAGUGAGGCGCGAAAAGCCCA
RNAcentral lists this ribosomal RNA (241 nucleotides) under uncultured bacterium. RNAcentral's name for it is "partial 16S ribosomal RNA". It matches the Rfam family "Bacterial small subunit ribosomal RNA", at positions 524 to 763 of the family's 1533-position model. The record is from RNAcentral.